Molecule: ribosomal RNA, 460 nt
Filed under: uncultured bacterium
Lineage: Bacteria
Description: partial 16S ribosomal RNA
Rfam family: Bacterial small subunit ribosomal RNA
Source: RNAcentral
CCUACGGGUGGCAGCAGUGAGGAAUAUUGGUCAAUGGGCUUACGCCUGAACCAGCCAAGUCGCGUGAGGGAAGACUGCCCUCUGGGUUGUAAACCUCUUUUGUCAGGGAGCAACGCCGGCUACGUGUAGCCGGACUGAGAGUACCUGAAGAAAACGCAUCGGCUAACUCCGUGCCAGCAGCCGCGGUAAUACGGAGGAUGCGAGCGUUAUCCGGAUUUAUUGGGUUUAAAGGGUGCGUAGGCGGAAUGCCAAGUCAGCGGUAAAAUCGCGGGGCUCAACCUCGCUCCGCCGUUGAAACUGGCGUGCUUGAGUGGGCGAGAGGUAAGCGGAAUGCGUGGUGUAGCGGUGAAAGGCAUAGAUAUUAGGCAGAACACCGAUGGCGAAGGCAGCAUACCGGCGCCCAACUGACGCUGAAGCACGAAAGCGUGGGGAUCGAACAGGAUUAGAUACCCCGGUAGUC